GAUGAACGCUAGCUACAGGCUUAACACAUGCAAGUCGAGGGGCAGCGGGAGUUGAAGCUUGCUUCAAUUGCCGGCGACCGGCGCACGGGUGAGUAACGCGUAUCCAACCUUCCGGUACACUCAGGGAUAGCCUUUCGAAAGAAAGAUUAAUACCUGAUGGUAUGAUGAGAUUGCAUGAUAGCAUCAUUAAAGAUUUAUCGGUGUACGAUGGGGAUGCGUUCCAUUAGGUAGUAGGCGGGGUAACGGCCCACCUAGCCUACGAUGGAUAGGGGUUCUGAGAGGAAGGCCCCCCCACAUUGGAACUGAGACACGGUCCAAACUCCUACGGGAGGGCAGCAGUGAGGAAUAUUGGGUCAAUGGGCGAGAGCCUGAACCAGCCAAGUAGCGUGAAGGAUGAAGGUCCUACGGAUUGUAAACUUCUUUUAUACGGGAAUAAAGUAUCCUACGUGUGGGAGCUUGUAUGUACCUUAUGAAUAAGCAUCGGCUAACUCCGUG
RNAcentral lists this ribosomal RNA (495 nucleotides) under uncultured bacterium. RNAcentral's name for it is "bacterial SSU rRNA". It matches the Rfam family "Bacterial small subunit ribosomal RNA", at positions 28 to 507 of the family's 1533-position model. The record is from RNAcentral.